GCAUAUCAAUAAGCGGAGGAAAAGAAACCAACAGGGAUUGCCCUAGUAACGGCGAGUGAAGCGGCAACAGCUCAAAUUUGAAAUCUGGCUUCGGCCCGAGUUGUAAUUUGCAGAGGAAGCUUUAGGCGCGGCACCAUCUGAGUCCCCUGGAACGGGGCGCCACAGAGGGUGAGAGCCCCGUAUAGAUGGACGCCUAGCCUGUGUAAAGCUCCUUCGACGAGUCGAGUAGUUUGGGAAUGCUGCUCAAAAUGGGAGGUAAAUUUCUUCUAAAGCUAAAUACCGGCCAGAGACCGAUAGCGCACAAGUAGAGUGAUCGAAAGAUGAAAAGCACUUUGAAAAGAGGGUUAAAUAGCACGUGAAAUUGUUGAAAGGGAAGCGCUUGUGACCAGACUUGCGCCGGGCGGAUCAUCCGGUGUUCUCACCGGUGCACUCCGCCCGGCUCAGGCCAGCAUCGGUUCUCGUGGGGGGAUAAAGGCACCGGGAACGUAGCUCCUCCGGGAGUGUUAUAGCCCGGGGCGUAAUGCCCUCGCGGGGACCGAGGACCGCGCUUCUGCAAGGAUG
This 561-nucleotide ribosomal RNA is filed under the name Botryotrichum peruvianum. Its description in RNAcentral is "eukaryotic LSU rRNA". It matches the Rfam family "Eukaryotic large subunit ribosomal RNA", at positions 38 to 625 of the family's 3401-position model. Lineage: Eukaryota; Fungi; Ascomycota; Sordariomycetes; Sordariales; Chaetomiaceae. The record is from RNAcentral.